Papaver somniferum (opium poppy) is the source of this 1590-nucleotide long non-coding RNA. RefSeq lists it as uncharacterized. The transcript has 9 exons. Lineage: Eukaryota; Viridiplantae; Streptophyta; Magnoliopsida; Ranunculales; Papaveraceae. The record is from RefSeq and is a predicted model, not a curated record.
AUGAGGCUCACUAUUUCGCUUUCUCUCCUCAAUCCUCUAGAUGCACCUCUCUUCUCCAUCUUCUUCAACUCCACCACCAAACCGAACACUGAAACAAAUCAGAAGAAAUUUCUAAACAAUUUCUAAAAAAUAAUUGCUCUUCAAUCCAACCUAUUUCUCCAUCUUCUUCAUCUCCUCCACAAAAUGGAAGUUCUCUCAUGAACCCAAUCUAAAACUGCAACCACAUAACAAAGCAAAUAGGUACCAUUCAUUCUUCUUGAACCAUCUUCUUCUUUUCAUCUUUGUUGUUAAGAUUAUCAGUUCGUCAAAGGAGAUUAAAGAGAUGGCUAAGAAUGUCAAUGAUUUAUGACUUUAUGUGGGAAGAUGAAUGGAGAUAAAGGUUCAAAACAAUAAUCUCUGGGUAGUUUGGUUAGUAGAAGGCUCUCUGGUGUAACUAAUUCAAUAGGUUCACCUAACCAAGAUGAGAAGCCGAAACCUGUUGGUUCAUGUACAAAGAGGGAUUACAUUAAACAGCUGCUUAGGGAGAAGUCGAAAGCUGCUGGAAAGAUGAAAGUUUGGCAAGGUUAUGCGCAUGCUGGUGUGGUUGCUUUGGCUACAUGGUUCUGAUGGGAAAUAGUUUUUGAGGUUCUAUGCCCUGCGUUGUCAAUCUGUACUAUUCAUUUUGAAGGUAGUUAAGAUUUGAAGCAAGUACAGAGACAAACACGUCGAUCUGUGGUUUUUGAGGCGACUGCAGCGAAGAAAGCUGAAUUCGCAGCCAAGAGAGCUUGUCAAGCAGAGAAAAGACAGGUAGUACAUUUUAGCUGGAAGAAGGACUCCCCUGAGAGUUUGUGUGGAUAUCUUCUCGAGGUGAUGCAACCUUCUUGUAUCCUUUUGUCCUUUACGAAUUUAAUAGUGCUGAUACUCUGAAAGUGAUCGGAUAAAGCCUCUAUAUCGUGUUUUUAAUUAACUUUUGGUGCAGCUAUGUUUCUUAGUUUCUCACAUAUUUCUAUAUUCUAUAUUGUAUCCAAUGUAAUAACAACUGAAGACGGAGUUAAUUUUAUAAGCAUAACUGGUUCAAUGCUCACACCUAAGCAUUAGGCUGAUGUUGAAAGUGAUUGAGGCUAUUCUAAAGAAUCCUGAUGAUGAAACUCAGCGUUUUUCUCCCUUUUUGUUACAAAGUGAAAAACACAACCGAGCUUUAGCAGUUAGAAAAGAUUCCAAAAUUCAAGGCUAGGCCACUGAAUAAAAAGGUGACGAAGCCUCGGGAGUUCCACUUUGAAAUUGAUGAAUGGAUUCCACCUGUAAGAACAGUUUUUGAGUUGUUUGACAAGGUACAGACAACAUAAUCACUUUUCUCUUACAACUUUCAUUAAACUCAGAACGCCAUCACAAUGAGCAACUAUAUUUUGGGGAUAUAUGAACUAGUCCCUCUAUUUUGUAAGGUGAAGCUAUGUAAAAGAAUUUGAUGUUCAAUAAUGAACUUGGUCCAAGUUUUCAUACUUUGAACUAACAAUUUUGGUCCAGAUUGUAAAUUGAAUUUGAGCUCCAUUUGAGAUAAUCGUUUGUGUAAUUUGAGACCAAUGAAUCAAUGAAUGUUAAAUUGAAUGAUUA